AGUUGCUGCUAGCUAAAGAUCCAGCUGCUGUAUUUCACAGGGAGAGAAAAGAAAGAGCUAACUUCACUCAGAGAUGGAGAAAGACACGAAAGACAGGACACUACAGGAAGAAGAGAAGUUAUAUUUAAAGGGUAAGCAUCUUAAGGACAAGAUUUGACAUGUAGACUGGAGCAGCUUGGGAUCGAACCACCAACUUUCCGAUUAGAUGACCUGCUCUGCUUUCUAAGCUACAGCAACUCCUUUAGAUUCAACCGAAUGGCACAGAUUCAAAAAGGUGCUGGAACUGUUCCUCAGACAUUUUGUUCCAUGUUGAUAUGAUGGCAUCUGCGCCACUGCAGAUUCAUCCGGUGCACAUCAUGAUGUGACCCUGUUCCACCACAUCCCAAAGGUGCGCUGUUGCACUGAGAUCAGGUAAUUAGAGGUCUUAAGGUUUGAUAUGAUCUGAGCUUUAUGACAGAGCUUUAUCCUGCUGGAGUCUGUAACCACAAUGUACUCAUCUUCUGGUGGCUAAGGAAUGGAUGUGGUCAGCAGCAAUAAUCAGGUAAGCUGUGGUGUUUUAAAUGAUGAUCACUGACACAAGGCAGUAUGGAUUCAUGGUGUCAUGCUGUUUAUGCCAAAUUUUGACCCCAAAUUUCAAAGGUCGCAGCAGAAAUCGGGACUCUUCAGACCAGGCAAUGCUUGUUUUUUUCGGGGGGGUAUGUUGUGGUGUUUCUGGGUUGUUUUUUUUUGUUUUUGUUUUUUGUUUUUUUUUUUGUUUUUUUUUUGUUUAAUCGUCUGGCUAAUUUUGGCGAGCUAUUGUCACCUCAGUUUCCCGUUAUACCUGCUGCCUUCCUAGCAGCUCAAAGCAGUCUGGCCAGUCUCCUCUGGCAUCGACAAGAUGUUUUCACCCAGAGAACUGAACAUUUUCUUUUUCAACACAUUCUCUGUUCAUAGCAUUUCAGAAACUGCUGAUCUGCUGGAAUUUUCCCACACGAUGUUACUUGGAUUUACAGUGUCUGGCACCGCCAAAAACUACCACCAUGUUACAUUCAACGUCACUUUGCUCUUGUCUCCUCACAUUGCAAAAUCUGCCAUAAAAUCCUUGAAUAUUUCUUUUUUUUUUUUUUUUUUUUUUAUCUUUCAAAAGAGUGCAAAUGCACCAGAGUAUGGACCACAUGUAAGAGUAAAAGACACUGAUUUAAAAAAAUUUGAUUUGACGAUCAUUUUUGGCUGUGUUAAGCUUCUGUCAUGGAUUCUUUUUGCAGGAAAUCUUUUUCAUCAAUGGAAAAAGUUGGAAAAAAAAAUGUCUGAGGAGGGCUUAAGGGUUAAAUGACCUUUCUUCCCCUACUGAUGAUCAGCUUAAAGUUCAGUGGCUUAAAUGAGACGAUGGAGACCUCCCAGGAUGGGAAAGAAAGAAGCUUCAAAUUCAGGUCCUGCAUUGACGCCGAUCACACCAGGACAUUUGAUCUGAAGUCGCAGCCACAACCUCUGACUUCCUCACAGCGCUUCUUUUUCACACACGAAGGGAAAUGUCAAAUGUUUGCAUUUUCAGAGGGAGCUGGGUGUUAUUUUUCUUGGCAGGCUUGAGCUCAGCAGCUGGAGACUUGCAGUCAGGUCAGAGAGGCUGACAAGGUUGCUACACCACCCCCUGAGCUUUUUUUUUUCCUUCUUCUCCUUCUUAAAUGGGGUGGCAAAGGAGAAAAUGGGAGCCUAUCAGGAGAAUCUUUGGUUUUGUAAAUUCACAAGUAUCAAUUAUAAAUUGAGAGGUGGGUCCACAACUGUAAGAAUAUGGCUAAUACACCGAAGCACACAAUUCAGUGUCAUCUCUGCUUACCUUUAUUCUAAACACAGCUCAUGCUUCUGCUUUCAGCUACAUUAGUGAUCAGUGGGGGUUAGUUUAGUUGAUUGCUUUUUAUUUUUACCAGAAAAGGCCCAUUGAGAUCAGUCUUUUUUUUUUUUUUCAUAAAAACAAAAGACCCAGCAAAAGUUGCAAUCUGUCUUCUCUUUUGUUUAGAACAUUCUUUAACUCAGUAAAAUUUUUCCAAAUUUUAUAAACUCUGUUUAACGAAUUCAGAGGUCCAGAUGCCCUUACAUUCAUUAAACAGUGCAACCAUGGGUACUAAAUUAUGGGUAUGGACAAGUGCCAUGCAUGUUUUGUUUCUGUACAUGUUAAAAUAAAUGGCCUGCUUACAUUUUUUUUAAUUUAAAAUGGUAUAAGCUGAAAGUAUUCCUUCUCUUUGUAAUUUCACUGUCUGAAAUAAAAUGUGCGUUGACUCAUACUCUCCUGGAAGAAAUAAACGUGGUGUCC
Astatotilapia calliptera (eastern happy) is the source of this 2287-nucleotide long non-coding RNA. Lineage: Eukaryota; Metazoa; Chordata; Actinopteri; Cichliformes; Cichlidae. The record is from Ensembl.